RNAcentral lists this ribosomal RNA (565 nucleotides) under uncultured archaeon. RNAcentral describes it as "bacterial SSU rRNA". It matches the Rfam family "Archaeal small subunit ribosomal RNA", at positions 314 to 879 of the family's 1478-position model. The record is from RNAcentral.
CGAAUCGCCCUUCGGGGUGCAGCAGGCGCGAAAACUUUACAAUGCUGGCAACAGCGAUAAGGGGACCUUGAGUGCCAGGAUACAAUCCUGGCUGUCGUGAUGCCUAAAAAGCAUUAUAUAGCAAGGGCCGGGCAAGACCGGUGCCAGCCGCCGCGGUAACACCGGCGGCUCGAGUGGUAACCGCUAUUAUUGGGUCUAAAGGGUCUGUAGCCGGCUUGGUUAGUCUCUUGGGAAAUCCGGCAGCUUAACUGUCGGGCUUUCAGGAGAUACUGCCAGGCUCGAGACCGGGAGAGGUGAGAGGUACUUCAUGGGUAGGGGUGAAAUCUUGUAAUCCUCGAAGGACCACCAGUGGCGAAGGCGUCUCACCAGAACGGAUCUGACGGCAAGGGACGAAAGCUAGGGGCACGAACCGGAUUAGAUACCCGGGUAGUCCUAGCCGUAAACGAUACUCGCUAGGUGUCGGCCACGGUGCGACCGUGGUCGGUGCCGUAGGGAAGCCAUGAAGCGAGCCACCUGGGAAGUACGGCCGCAAGGCUGAAACUUAAAGGAAUUGGCGGGGGAGCAC